This 253-nucleotide ribosomal RNA is filed under the name uncultured bacterium. RNAcentral describes it as "partial 16S ribosomal RNA". It matches the Rfam family "Bacterial small subunit ribosomal RNA", at positions 524 to 776 of the family's 1533-position model. The record is from RNAcentral.
UACAGAGGGUGCGAGCGUUAAUCGGAAUUACUGGGCGUAAAGCGCACGUAGGUGGCGACGUAAGUCGGGUGUGAAAGCCCCGGGCUCAACCUGGGAAUUGCAUUCGAGACUGCAUUGCUGGAGUACGGAAGAGGAAGGCGGAAUUCCCGGUGUAGCGGUGAAAUGCGUAGAUAUCGGGAGGAACAUCAGUGGCGAAGGCGGCCUUCUGGUCCAGUACUGACACUCAAGUGCGAAAGCGUGGGGAGCAAGCAGG